RNAcentral lists this long non-coding RNA (1175 nucleotides) under Phasianus colchicus (ring-necked pheasant). RNAcentral describes it as "lncRNA (ENSPCLG00000021250.1)". The record is from RNAcentral. Lineage: Eukaryota; Metazoa; Chordata; Aves; Galliformes; Phasianidae.
GGAUCACUUCAUCUUUCUAUCUAAUUCUUUUUCACUGAAAAACAAGAACAUGUCUGUGUUCUGACACUUGUUAUGGCUCUUCAGUAAGGAUUCAAUGCUUAGUGCUUACUCCAAGUGAUGCUCCAGCUCAGUAAGUUGUGCCAGGUCCGUGCCAAUGCUGAGAGCCAGACCCGAGCCUGUACGGAAGGUAAUGAGUGGUGAUUGCCAAAUUACUGUAAUGAGAGCAAUGUCGUGUCAGGAGAUGCAGCACUGCUGCCCGGUGCUUCCAGCUGCCCUGUGCCUUGCCUUGUGCUCACAUUGUAGGGCUGUUGCUUGGUGCUGCCUUGGUACAGGCUGCUGUCCUGAUGGAUCCCCUCUCACCUUACCUCCUGCUUCUGCUCCCUUGGUGCUGCAUACAGGAUGGCUGCAGCGCCAGCUGUGGACAUAUUGUGUCUCUGAACCCACUUGGGCCAUACUGCACACACAGGCUGUAGUUCUUGCUGCUCUGGGUUCUUACUUAAUUGCUGCACUGCUAGGAGGGCAGUGCAAGCUUGUGUCUGCCUAUCUGCCGUGUUUGUGGUGGCAAAAUACUCCAAAUUUAGGAAGCUGUCAGCCACUCAAAACUCAGGUGGUUGGGGUGUCCUGCAUGGAGUUGUUUUUGUGGAUAUGUCCCAGGUUGUCACUGGGAACUUCUGGUGUCUUUUUUCCUCGGUUUGUUUGUGUGGCUGCUUGGAAAGCUUUGCUGCAUGUUUCUGAUACACAAAUCAUGACUGAUGUGUUCGUACGCUUGUUCACAGCAAAACCCAACUGUUUUGUAAGAAUCACCGAUUAUAAAAACGAUUUGGAAAUGCUUGAGAGAAUCCUGAUAAGCAGUUGCAGGGAAGGGAAAAGGAUCCCCGGCGGCAGGGACAGACCCUGCCCAGCAGCGGGGACACGCGGCUCACCGUGCCACGGAACAGCCGGGCAGAGCACGGCGUGCCUCGAGCGGGCUGCCAGGGAGGAUGGUGCCUUCCGAAGGAGACAUCUGGAGCUCACAUCCUCUCCCCCGAGCUAUUUCCUCGCCCUCUGUGCCCCCCUGUACCCCGCCUCAGUGAGAUCACUGCUUUCCCCUUCAGAACCCAGGCUUCGUAGCUUUUCUGGCUUGUGGGAAGGUCAGGGAAUUCCGUGAAGUCAGCGGUAAAGCAUGAAGCUGAUCG